RNAcentral lists this long non-coding RNA (825 nucleotides) under Homo sapiens (human). Its description in RNAcentral is "uncharacterized LOC124905374 (LOC124905374)". The record is from RNAcentral. Lineage: Eukaryota; Metazoa; Chordata; Mammalia; Primates; Hominidae.
CCCCGGGCUGGGGCCGGUUCGGCCUCCCGGGUGGCGCGCGGGCCGAAGAACUAGGAGGACCGCCGGGCCGGGCCGCUUGUCCUUUGGAAAAACCUUGGCGGUUCCUCCUCUGGUGUCCGUGGACCCCGCCGUGGCGUUCUCCAGGGCCGCGGACCUUUGCCCACCGGUCGCGCCAGCUGUCCUGGAGCAGAAAGGACCCCCCUCCUCCCGGACCGAGCCCCGAGCCCCGAGCCCCAUGGAGCAGGCAAGCGCCGGAGUCCCGAGGCUAAGGCCCGGCCGGCGGGCGCUCUGGCACCUUUUCCCGCCCCCGAGGGUGCCUGUCCGGCCCGGCCGGGACUGGCUGGGAAACCGAGGCCGGAAGAGGUCGCAGUCCAGCAAGGAAUCGGGGCAGCUCUUCCGUGGUUCCUUGCAGACCCCAGGUCAGGCCAGAAAACACCUCUAUGGCCCUUCCCUGUGUCCCACCACCAGAUAGGACCUCAAAGGCCUGGGGUCCCCAGGAUGGCCCUCAAACCGACUGGUGCCCUUGCAGGCUGCCACCCUCCAAGUCCUGCUUCUCUCUAGAGAUGGGCAGGAGCACCAGCCCUCACCUGGCACCAGCACUUUACUGGUGGAACAUAAUAUGGUCUAAGAAGAGAUUUUUCCAGCAAGAGGCCAUCUCUGCAAAUCACCUGUGAGGCAGACCUGUGGCAAUUUUAUGACUCAGCUGGCCACCGGGAUUGUAGCUGGGUUCUGCCGCUUGUUGAAACCUACUCAGUGUUCUCCUUCCCUAAGUAGGACAAGACCGUAUCCUGCCUUUAAGGUUUAUAGAAUAAAAACUGAAAACUC